RNAcentral lists this ribosomal RNA (507 nucleotides) under uncultured bacterium. RNAcentral's name for it is "bacterial SSU rRNA". It matches the Rfam family "Bacterial small subunit ribosomal RNA", at positions 8 to 507 of the family's 1533-position model. The record is from RNAcentral.
AGAGUUUGAUCAUGGCUCAGGAUGAACGCUAGCGGCAGGCUUAAUACAUGCAAGUCGAGGGGCAGCAUGACUGUAGCAAUACAGUUGAUGGCGACCGGCAAACGGGUGCGGAACACGUACAGAACCUUCCUUCGAGCGGGAAUAGCCCAGAGAAAUUUGGAUUAAUACCCCAUAGUACAACGGAGUGGCAUCACUUUGUUGUUAAAGAUUUAUCACUUGAAGAUGGCUGUGCGGCUGAUUAGGUAGUUGGCGGGGUAACGGCCCACCAAGCCUGCGAUCAGUAACUGGUGUGAGAGCACGACCAGUCACACGGGCACUGAGACACGGGCCCGACUCCUACGGGAGGCAGCAGUAAGGAAUAUUGGUCAAUGGACGAAAGUCUGAACCAGCCAUGCCGCGUGGAGGAUGAAGGUCCUCUGGAUUGUAAACUUCUUUUAUAUGGGACGAAAAAAGGGUUUUCUAACUCGUCUGACGGUACCAUAUGAAUAAGCACCGGCUAACUCCGUG